CUGGGAUGAUGCAAUUUAGCCAAAUCUGACAUUGAUGUGCUCCUUAAGGAGUUAAGGCAUUGCAAUAUGACUACCUUUGGUAGAAGUGCAUCACUUUGAAGAUAAAAUUGAGAUUGGUUGCUUUCUGACCAGA
RNAcentral lists this small nucleolar RNA (133 nucleotides) under Ipomoea nil (Japanese morning glory). RNAcentral describes it as "small nucleolar RNA snoR127". It matches the Rfam family "small nucleolar RNA snoR127". The record is from Rfam by way of RNAcentral. Lineage: Eukaryota; Viridiplantae; Streptophyta; Magnoliopsida; Solanales; Convolvulaceae.